GACAGCAGUCGCCGCGGUAAUACGUAGGUGGCGAGCGUUGUCCGGAAUUAUUGGGCGUAAAGGGAGCGCAGGCGGACAUAUAAGUCCAUCUUAAAAGUGCGGGGCUCAACCCCGUGAGGGGAUGGAAACUGUAUGCCUUGAGCGCAGGAGAGGAAAGCGGAAUUCCCAGUGUAGCGGUGAAAUGCGUAGAUAUUGGGAGGAACACCAGUGGCGAAGGCGGCUUUCUGGACUGUAACUGACGCUGAGGCUCGAAAGCCAGGGGAGCGAACGGGAUUAGAUACCCCUGUAGUCCCUGUCUCUUAUACA
This 306-nucleotide ribosomal RNA is filed under the name uncultured bacterium. RNAcentral describes it as "partial 16S ribosomal RNA". It matches the Rfam family "Bacterial small subunit ribosomal RNA", at positions 507 to 809 of the family's 1533-position model. The record is from RNAcentral.